Molecule: long non-coding RNA, 380 nt
Organism: Stegodyphus dumicola
Lineage: Eukaryota; Metazoa; Arthropoda; Arachnida; Araneae; Eresidae
Source: RefSeq, a predicted model, not a curated record
GUCAUAUCCUGAAAAAUUAAACGGAUUAAUAGCCAAAAGUUAUCAGAAGAAAGAUGUUUUAGACUUAACACGACCUGGAAUAGGUCUUGGCCUAACGACUAUAUUAGGUUAGAAUUGUUUCCAUAAAGAAGAAAUGACAGGAGUAUCCAUUCGCAACGUUAUCAGUGACUUCCUUAAUGUAUUGAUCUGUUAAUACUCUUCAUAAAUUUCUUUGAGCACUGAAACUUUUAAGUGCAAAGAGUCAUUUUCACUCCAUGUUUUUCAAGAAGCGGAUAGUUAAGCACACAUAUCUAAUCUCUUCUAAUCACACAGUGAUAUGAUAAUUUUACGUCGUCACCGACAUCAUUAUUAAGUGUUACCUCAUAAAAUCUUUGGAUGCA